This 253-nucleotide ribosomal RNA is filed under the name uncultured bacterium. RNAcentral describes it as "partial 16S ribosomal RNA". It matches the Rfam family "Bacterial small subunit ribosomal RNA", at positions 524 to 776 of the family's 1533-position model. The record is from RNAcentral.
UACGAAGGGGGCUAGCGUUGUUCGGAAUCACUGGGCGUAAAGGGUGCGCAGGCGGAUUUUUAAGUCAGGUGUGAAAUCCCAGGGCUCAACCUUGGAACUGCCUUUGAUACUGGGGAUCUUGAGUCCGGAAGAGGUGAGUGGAACUGCUGGUGUAGAGGUGAAAUUCGUAGAUAUUCGCAAGAACACCGGUGGCGAAGGCGGCUCACUGGUCCGGAACUGACGCUGAGGCACGAAAGCGUGGGGAGCAAACAGG